AGCUCGACCGGGUCCACGCCGCGGGUCACCGUCAGGUAGUCGCGGAUCGCGAUGCCGUGCCGGCCCUC
Molecule: small RNA, 68 nt
Filed under: Actinoplanes derwentensis
Lineage: Bacteria; Bacillati; Actinomycetota; Actinomycetes; Micromonosporales; Micromonosporaceae
Description: ASdes TB sRNA
Rfam family: ASdes TB sRNA
Source: Rfam by way of RNAcentral